GUGCCUAACACAUGCAAGUCGAACGGUAGCAGGCCUAGUUUACUAGGUGCUGACGAGUGGCGGACGGCUGAGUAACGCGUGGGAAUGUGCCCUAAAGUGAGGGAUAACGCACCGAAAGGUGUGCUAAUACCGCAUAUGGUCUUCGGAUUAAAGAAUUUAUUCGCUUUAGGAGCAGCCCGCGUCGGAUUAGGUAGUUGGUGAGGUAAAGGCUCACCAAGCCCACGAUCCGUAGCUGGUCUGAGAGGAUGACCAGCCAGACUGGAACUGAGACACGGUCCAGACUCCUACGGGAGGCAGCAGUGAGGAAUCUUCCACAAUGGGCGAAAGCCUGAUGGAGCAACGCCGCGUGCAGGAUGAAGGCCUUCGGGUUGUAAACUGCUUUUAUAAGUGAGGAAUAUGACGGUAACUUAUGAAUAAGGAUCGGCUAACUACGUGCCAGCAGCCGCGGUCAUACGUAGGAUCCAAGCGUUAUCCGGAGUGACUGGGCGUAAAGAGUUGCGUAGGUGGUUUGUUAAGUAGAUAGU
This 524-nucleotide ribosomal RNA is filed under the name uncultured earthworm cast bacterium. Its description in RNAcentral is "bacterial SSU rRNA". It matches the Rfam family "Bacterial small subunit ribosomal RNA", at positions 44 to 595 of the family's 1533-position model. The record is from RNAcentral.